RNAcentral lists this ribosomal RNA (1124 nucleotides) under Klebsiella pneumoniae. RNAcentral's name for it is "bacterial SSU rRNA". It matches the Rfam family "Bacterial small subunit ribosomal RNA", at positions 39 to 1153 of the family's 1533-position model. The record is from RNAcentral. Lineage: Bacteria; Pseudomonadati; Pseudomonadota; Gammaproteobacteria; Enterobacterales; Enterobacteriaceae.
CUGGCAGGCCUAACACAUGCAAGUCGAGCGGUAGCACAGAGAGCUUGCUCUCGGGUGACGAGCGGCGGACGGGUGAGUAAUGUCUGGGAAACUGCCUGAUGGAGGGGGAUAACUACUGGAAACGGUAGCUAAUACCGCAUAAUGUCGCAAGACCAAAGUGGGGGACCUUCGGGCCUCAUGCCAUCAGAUGUGCCCAGAUGGGAUUAGCUAGUAGGUGGGGUAACGGCUCACCUAGGCGACGAUCCCUAGCUGGUCUGAGAGGAUGACCAGCCACACUGGAACUGAGACACGGUCCAGACUCCUACGGGAGGCAGCAGUGGGGAAUAUUGCACAAUGGGCGCAAGCCUGAUGCAGCCAUGCCGCGUGUGUGAAGAAGGCCUUCGGGUUGUAAAGCACUUUCAGCGGGGAGGAAGGCGUUAAGGUUAAUAACCUUGUCGAUUGACGUUACCCGCAGAAGAAGCACCGGCUAACUCCGUGCCAGCAGCCGCGGUAAUACGGAGGGUGCAAUCGUUAAUCGGAAUUACUGGGCGUAUAUCGCACGCAGGCCGUCUGUCAACUCAGAUGUGAAAUCCCCGGGCUCAACCUGGGAACUGCAUUCAAAACUGGCAUGGUAGAGUCUUGUACAGGGGGGUAGAAUUCCAGGUGUAGCGGUGAAAUGCGUAGAGAUCUGGAGGAAUACCGGUGGCGAAGGCGGCCCCCUGGACAAAGACUGACGCUCAGGUGCGAAAGCGUGGGGAGCAAACAGGAUUAGAUACCCUGGUAGUCCACGCCGUAAACGAUGUCGAUUUGGAGGUUGUGCAGCUUUGAGGCGUGGCUUCCGGAGCUAACGCGUUAAAUCGACCGCCUGGGGAGUACGGCCGCAAGGUUAAAACUCAAAUGAAUUGACGGGGGCCCGCACAAGCGGUGGAGCAUGUGGUUUAAUUCGAUGCAACGCGAAGAACCUUACCUGGUCUUGACAUCCACAGAACUUUCCAGAGAUGGAUUGGUGCCUUCGAGAACUGUGAGACAGGUGCUGCAUGGCUGUCGUCAGCUCGUGUUGUGAAAUGUUGGGUUAAGUCCCGCAACGAGCGCAACCCUUAUCCUUUGUUGCCAGCGGUUAGGCCGGGAACUCAAAGGAGACUGCC